RNAcentral lists this ribosomal RNA (253 nucleotides) under uncultured bacterium. RNAcentral's name for it is "partial 16S ribosomal RNA". It matches the Rfam family "Bacterial small subunit ribosomal RNA", at positions 524 to 776 of the family's 1533-position model. The record is from RNAcentral.
UACAGAGGUCUCAAGCGUUGUUCGGAUUCAUUGGGCGUAAAGGGUGCGUAGGUGGUGCCGUAAGUCGGAUGUGAAAUCUCGGGGCUCAACCCCGAAACUGCAUUCGAUACUGCGGUGCUCGAGGACUGGAGAGGAGACUGGAAUUCACGGUGUAGCAGUGAAAUGCGUAGAUAUCGUGAGGAAGACCAGUGGCGAAAGCGGGUCUCUGGACAGUUCCUGACACUGAUGCACGAAGGCCAGGGGAGCAAACGGG